This 7988-nucleotide unclassified non-coding RNA is filed under the name Leishmania donovani. RNAcentral describes it as "gene:LdHU3.35.2160(CDS-product:Concanavalin_A-lik e_lectin/glucanases_superfamily_putative)". Lineage: Eukaryota; Euglenozoa; Kinetoplastea; Trypanosomatida; Trypanosomatidae. The record is from RNAcentral.
GAUGCACUAACAUAUAUACACACCAACGCAGGAGCGUGAAGGGCACAUAUACACAGAGGCAGGCAGGCGCAUACACACACACGCACACACAUCUGUAAACAUUGAAGACAGCAACCUUCUGAGUUCCCUUUCUUCUGCCCAAUCAUCCUUCUCAUUCUGUUGUUCUUGCUUGUUGUUUGGCGGUGGACGAUUUGAGUGUAUUUCAUUUCUUUUUGGGGGAGAGGGGAAGCUUGUUUGUGUGUGUGUGUGUCAUUGUCUUUUCCCCUCGCCCCUCCCCUUCUUAUUCUUGUUCAAUCCUCCCCCCCCCCCUCGCCUUCGCCUUCGCGCCUUCCCUUGGAGCGUAGCAUACCUGACGGCGUCAAGGAGAACGGGUGGAACAAAGCAGACCGACCAACGAAAAAAAAAACGCGGCGAAGCACGCACAUCAGCUUCCUGGGAAAAAAAAAGCAGCGAGCAAACGACAAAAAAAGUACUCAACGAAAAGCCAUCUAUAUAAGUGCACACACACACACAUAUAUAUGUAUUAGUCAGGGGCACAGCAAGGGAUACAUACAUACACACGUGUUUAAACUUGCGCUCCAAUUAUCAUCACCAAUACACCUUCUUGUUCUUUGUCGAUGCUAUUGUUUUUUUUCCCGCUCGUCUUUUCACAUCAAUCCCUUCCCAUUUCGUCCUCUCACUUCGUUCUUCUGUGCGCUCGCUUCACUUGGUGGCGGUGGCGAUUUUUUUUUAAUUUGGGGUUGCUGCUGUUGUCACCAUUGCGUCAUCCUCAUUUUCUCUUCUCUAUAUUGACGGUGCAGCGGUGCACACAACUUUCUUCGCUGUCCGAAACCACAAUUUAUGAUUUUGCACGCAGACACACGAAUACUCACAUAGUUGCCACAUCCAAACUCGGCCGGUCGGUCGGUGUACAUCGUCUUUUUCCUCUGCUCUGUGUCGCCUUUAGCACGCCUCCACCCUCUACACUCAUUCAGUCGCCGAUCACGCCGCCUUUCUUUUUUUUUAUUAUUAUUAUUCUGCCCGUGUACGUGUACCUGCUUUGCACUUCCUUUCCUGUCAGCCUGCCCCUUAGCGCUCGAAGUUAUUUUUCUUAGUGUUACACACCUUCACUGGCCCCCUCCUCUUCCUCACCACCACCACCCCCACUUCCACUCUUUCACCUGCCAUCGCGUGUCAAGUGCUGAGAAGCACACGACACCUUCUUUGAUUUUCCUUUAAGGCACCUUUUCUUGCCUUCCUUCUUGAACACCUUCCUCAGGGUGUGAGGGCACAGACCCACGGCUUCUGAACCGCACAAAACAGCGGGCGACCCAACCAACGCGACACAUGUUUUCAAAAGAGAACUUCAUCGACUUAGCUCACCAGGCGGUCAGCGCUGUUCGCCGGAUAGUCGGCAGCUCCGAGUCAUGGAACGUACGCGACGCGCUUUCGGCCACCUCGCAAGUCGUUCUCACAGUCUGUAAGGCAAACACCACACUGGACGCGGCUACUUUGGAGGCGUGGGUGAAUGACCUCGUGCGGGAGCUGGAACUGCAGUCGACGCAGAGCGCCGCUGCCACAGAAACGGCGGCGGCGGGGGAGACUGGAGGUGCGGCAAGCAGCGUCAAAGACGAGGCAUCGAAGCCGCUAAGCGAGCCGGCGCUCAUUGUGAACCUCGAGGUUGCGCGAGAACUCAUAUACUCCUGCAACGCAGAAGAAACUGUAAAGGCGUACUUGAAAAAGAAGCUCGUGGCGGCCAUCGUGCAGCUCUACGGCAGCGCCACGCUCACGCAGAGACUGCGUGACUGCUGCGCCUACGUCAUCGUCGGCGUGUGCUCAUCGCAGCAGCUGCUACUGCGCGACUUCAUGUUUGCCUGUACCGACCGCUUGCACAGUCUCCCGCAGGACCACAACGGCCGCGUCCUUCAAAUCCUCCUUGCGUCGCUCUUGGUAGAGGUGUUUCAUCAGUUCCAGCUGUACUGUUACGGCCGGCUCAAGACAGACCUGGAUGCAGAAACAGAAGCUCACUGCACGUCGCUCAUCGACUGCCUUUUGGAAACAGCGUACUCGCUCAUGGUGCAGGAUGCGGCUGUCGUAUCCCGCACCGCCACUGCGUCUCGGACGGCGUCGGGCGAGGCGGAGGAGAGCCUCGAGUCGGGGUCACCGUCUCCGCCACCAGCGACACACGAUGAAACCUCCACGGCGACGGCAGCAGCGAGCAACAAAGAUGGGAACAGCGGCGAGGCGGCAGGAUCUCCUGCGGCGCCAACCACCACCGUAGCAUGUAACGGUGACACCCCGGCAGCUUCGCCUGCCAACGCCUCCUUGGACAUGGCCGCCAGCGGCGCGAGUCUCGACAUCACCACUUCUGUUGUGCUCCUAGCAGUUGCCGCUGGCGUGUAUCGUGCACGGCCCGCCCUCAAGACCUACCUGGUGCGCCACUGGGGCGCUGAAUAUGCACGAGUGUGGGUCAAGGUAGCCUCGCAGCUCUCGAAGAUGCGCACGAACCUUCUUCUGUCGCUGUCGUCUCGCUCGCCCGUGUCUGCCAUGCUGGAGCCGGUAGAGUACUGGCGGGCAGAGAUGCUCGAAGGCCUGGUGGAGCUAUGCACGUCGGACAGCUUCACAACCCAGCGAGCCAUGGUAAUGGCGUCCAUUGCCGGAAGCGGCAGCAACAAUGGUAGCAGCAGCAACGGGGCAAGUCAGCACGGCGUGGUGUCUUCCACCAAGAUAGGCGGCUCCUCAGCAGCGCGCGCGCCGGCAUCCUCGUCUAGCGGCGCCACCGGUGCUCCCGCCGGCUCGGGGCCGAGCUUCAACAGCGCCGGCCGAUAUCAAUUUGUGCCGAUCCCAGCGGACUGGGAGACUUACCUGUCGCGCAGCACCUCGGCCGUGUGGCGCCUCGCCUCUGCCCUCUUUCCGUGCACCGUCACCUCGGAGGGCGUCAGCAUUCUCAAGGCGGUGCUGCUACUGCUGAACACGCGCCACGCCUCAGCAGAGGCCCUGUACCGCAGCACCAUUUCGACGCUGACAUUGCUGUGCGUUGCGAACCCGCGCAACGCCGUGCUGCUGUCUGAGCACCACUUUUUGCGCACCAUCAUGGCACUGGUUAACUGCAACCAGCCGAGCGUCUUUCCAGCCUCCCAGCAGGUCACACUGCACUUUCGCCACAGCGAGCCAAGCACCUCCGCGCCGGUGGCUGCGCUGGCGCAGACCCUGACGCUGACCCCGGUCAGCACCCUGAACGUGAACACGACCCAGCUUACCUUCUGCUUUCUCAACACCCUCACCUCCACAACGUUCUCCAAGGCGACUGUGGAGCUGCUGAUGCAGGGCAUCAAGGACAUGUGCUCGAUGCCGUCGUCUCAGACAGAUGUCGAUAUUAUCGAGAACUUUCUCCACGGCCUCAGCCGCGCCUUCAUUCCACACCCACUGCUCUUCUUCCCUGGCGAUGGCUGCGUGAGCUGGCGGCUGAAGCAGAUGUUUCCUCGAGGCAGUGGUUACAGCUUUACGGCGUGGAUCUACCCGACGUGUGUGUGGACUGGCGGCAGCUGCCUCUACUCCUUCAUGGAUCCGAACGACACGCGGGUGAGCCUGCUAAUCGUCGCCGACGGACGACAGUGCACGUUGGCGGUGCGGGUGAACAAGGGGGGUGGCGACCCGGCCGAGCUGGUCCUGAGCCGUGGUACCUUCGCCGCGACCACGUGGACGCACGUGGUUGUGAAUCACGGCGUUGCCCUGAACGUGUACAUCAACGGCCAGCGCCUCGAGGGGGUGCACGAUGUGCCCUACCCCAAGGAAAAGCACUUCAUCAUGUUCAACAUUGGCGGGGCCGCGGAGCUGCCGGGGUUCUUAGGCUUUAUGUCGGGCAUGAACAUCUCCGCCACGCUCCCUGAGAAGGAGAUCGCGAAGCUUCACGCCGCCGGGCCUGCUUUCUAUGACCCCUCAAGGGACUGCGCCUCGUUUCUCAUGCCUUUCUUCGAGGAAAAGCCCAAUGCCCCGUCUGAGCCGCAGACGCCGUCCCUGCUGCAGCAGAACGACAUGAUCACAAAGAAGUCGGCGGAGUUCCGGUGGAACCGCAUCGAACUCUACGUGCCUACCGAUAUUGAAGAAAUGAUUGCGCCAAGCAAGGUGGCGGAAUGGGUGCUCGGUGUGCUCAAGGGGCGGCGGACGGCGUCUGCUCAGAGCACGUCGACCUUUCUGAACGUUGCGAAGCUGAGCCUCAGUCUCUUGUCGACAUCCAUGCAGCUCGCGACGACGGAACAGCUGACGCAGCUGAUGCUCAAAAACUACCUGGACCAGCUGCGCACCGAGGUGCUUUCGUGGAAGGUGACGUUCCCAGAGUUCGCAUCACUAAUGCUGCAGUCCGUGACGCCACGCGGUGGGGGCAAGGUGCUGCAGCACCAUGCUUGCACGCAGCGCGUCUUUGACAUCCUUCUCAGCUGUGUGCUGCGGGCAAGAACCCAUGGCAGCGGGGGCGUGAACGGCGUCGCGCAUCACCGAGUUUGCGCCAGCAGGGACACCAUAGAUCCGAGCGAUGAGAGCGCCGCGGGGUCAACUGUGGCGUCGUCGGCGUCUGUGGCUUCGUCGCCAUGCAGCGAUGCCGCGCAGGAGGCGAACGCCACGAACAUCAUAUUGCGCGAGCUCAGCGACUGUCUUCUUGUGAAGGAGAACAUGGAGAUGUUCCAGGAAGAUUCGUCGCGGUUCCAGUGCAUCCUCAACGUGUCCCUCUAUCUCCCUAAGGAGUGCAUCAAGUCCGUCGUGAUUCUCAUUGAAAAGCUGUGCCACAGAGAGGCAGAGCUGCGCCGGGUGCUCUUGUUCCUUUUCACGCCAAGCUCCGUCACUCCAACAGCGGACACAGCGAAGGUAUGGGUGCUGCGCAUGCUCUUCGACAUUGCCAGGGAGGAGAUGGCGAUGUGCGAGAUGAUCCAGGAGUCCUUCAAGAGCCGGGGCGUCACACUCAUGCUGCUGCUCAUCAACGGCGAAAACCACUCUAGUGAGGCGAUACGCCUGUUGGCGCUUGGCCUGCUCUCGUUGUUGAUGCCGCUGAAGAGCUGCGCAAAGUUCUUCAAGAAAAGCGACGGCUUCGACAUCCUCUCGCUGGCGCUCACGGAGCCGCGCAACGACAUCCCGCUCGGUAUUCGCACUUUCGAUGCCCUCUUUCAAAUCGCCUUCGACGGGUUCCGACGCCACCGGGAGAAGAAGCCGGAGGCGGACAGCAUCGCCGCGCGGCUGAUGGCCACUGCGCAUAUUCUGCACCGCCAAAAGCAGCGUGACCCGAGCUCGUCAGCCGCUGCCGGCGGCGGAGGCGGGUGGUCGACCAGCGUUACAGUAGCUGGUGCGCUGCAGAAGGGCCGCAUGCAGCGGCACAUCGCGGACUUCCUCGGUCACACACCUUCCAUCAUGGUGAACCACCUUGGCACGCGCCGCGGCUACAGCUUCGAGCAUACGCACGACUACGGCAGAGUCAGGGAGGACUUCGGUGAGCUCGUGCUGCUGCACAAGGGAAGCCGCUACCACAACUUGCACCUUCCGAUGGCGCUGAAGACGGUCCUGUGUGCGCUGGACUACCUGAUUCGAGUGCUGCUGUACAGGCUGUCCUCGGCGCCACCGCUGGUGAUCUCCCCAGCCGUGGCAGCGACAGCGACGGCAAUCAGUGGCAACAACAUUACCGGCUCCUCAACAGACUACCUGGCAACAGCAGACGAGUAUCCGGUCUUGUCGACGCAGCGCCACGAGAGCGGGCUGCUGAGCACAAACGCGCGAGCUGCGCAGAUGGAUGAAGAGCGCGUGGUAGUUGAGGUUCUCAACUACCUAGACAAGUUGAUCGAGUGGCCGAAGCACGCGCUGAAGGUGAUGGACAUACCAUGGCUGGGCGGCUUGUGGGCAGCGGUUCGCGUCUUUUUCGAGAGGCCGGUGGACCCGAAUGGUACCACGGGGGCGGUAACGCCGGUGCAGCCCUCGGAGCCGGGGACGAUGGCGCUCACGCCUGCCGUGGCGGGGGCAAACCACCCACCCUCUCUCUCCACGCUGCAGCCGUGCGAGGCGGCCAUUCGGCGCUUGCAUCAGGAUCGCAGUGAGUUUGUUGCUGAGGUGACGCAGCGCUGUCGCACGGUCAUUCGAAAGAUGGUCAUCCUCGACAUCUCCAUGAAUGAGCGGGCGCAGAUUCGAUCGAUCCGCGACGGCGAGCAUCCGCCGCGUCUCGUGCGGAUCGUUCUCGAGGAGGUGGCGCGUUACUUCUCCGUCCAAAAGAACGGUGAGCUUCUCGAGAACGCCGGCACCAUCAUCCGGAACUUGAACUCGCUCUUCAAGGACGUGCACACCGCGUUGCGCCCCUUCCCUCCAACGCUCGGUGUGGCCAUUGUCAUCGCCAUCACGAACAUCUCCGUGUCUAGCAGCAUGCAGGUGCGGCGUCGAAUGAAGAACAGCAGCAACCUCCUGACAAUCCGAGAUCACCUCGCGUUCUAUGUCUUGCGCGAGUCGCGGAGGUUUUUGCGGCUCCGGAAGCGCUCUCUGAACCAGCUGAUUCACAUGAACGUCAACAACGCCAACUCAAUCACGGUGCUGCUCCUGCACCUCUCAAACAGCAUCAAGGAGAACAACGUGAACGAGGUGGAGGUCCUCAUGCCACUGAUCCGGCAGCUAGCGGGUGCCGACUCGGCUCGGCUGCGGGAGCUGCACGCUCUGCUAGGCGACAGCAAAGCCGCGCGCACCUUGGAAGAGCUGCUGAGCAGCAGCGGGGGAGCCAUCACCACCGUGCAGAGCCCGCUACUGCUAAGCACGCACACCUCACAGCCCACGCUAUCGGACCACUGCGCGAGUGAUGCGUUUACAGAUGCGGACUUUAGUACCGGUGGCGGGGAGCGGGCUACGUGGGGCCCAAGCCACGGUAUCGGUUCAAACCUGCUGGAGGAGGAGGGCGGAGAGCUGAGUUCAGGGGCGUGCACGGUGCAGCUGCUUGAAUGGUGCAAAACGAACAAGGAGGCCUGGGCCGCCAUUCAGCGAAACGUGCACGCCGCGAUGGCGAGCAUGGGGCUGGAGAAGAGCGAUGAUAAGGCGCAGCAGCAGCAGGUCAGCAGCGCCUCCGGCUCCCCGAAGGCGUCGGCCGGCGCGCACGUUGGCCUAAGCGAUCGGAGCAAGCGAGAGUUCCAGCAGCUGCGGGACGAGCUGCAGUCGGAACUCGCGAAGCGCAAGGCAGGCAGCAAGUGAAUCGUGCCCGAGAGAAAACCGCACAAGACAGAGGUGGCAAUUUGCGCGGAAAUCGAGACUCUGAGGCUUUGGCGCCACAAGUGCGAAUGGGAAAGGCCAGACAGUCUCGCGUCACACCGCCUAUGAGCGACAUCACUUUGCUAUUUGGUCGUGCCCCCUGCCGCGCCAAGCCCCCACCCCCACCCCUCCCCACUCAGUCGUCUUUGUUCUCAACUAUUCGUGUCAUAAGUGCAUGCCCGCUCGCGCUAUUAUCGUGAUCGCAGUGGCCCAACUGGACUUCUCAAAUUCUCUUUUGCCUUCCAUCCUCACUGAUGUGCUCAUCCGUGUCGCGGCUGCUCUGUGCUAUGUAGUUGACCGUCGAUGCCGUUUUUUCAAUCUGCACCUGCACAAUGGAAGCACUAUGAUGGAGGGUAGCAGAGAGAAGGCGCAUCGUCAGCUCUGGAUACAUAUGCGUGAGUGUAUGUUUUUAUGUAGGAAUGUGCAUGUGCACGUAUUGUAUAUGUGUGUGUGCAUAUGUGUGUGCGUACGUCCUUCUCUCUCCGUCUCUGCAUCAGCGUGCGGUGGGGUGUUCCCGUGUCUAGUCGUUGCUGCUCACUCACUUGGGCGUGUGUACAUUUUAUUACGAUUUUCAUUUCUUUUUGGUUUUGUUUGCGAUGCCGCGAAAGAUGCUUGCUGGCAGUGUCUCUCUUCUCGCUCCCUGUAUGUGUUUAUGUGUCGCGGUAGUCGUAGUGGUUGUGGUUUUGUUUCGUUUCGCUUUCUUCUCUUGCCAACCUUGUGUGCGAUUCGUUGCUGAGCGAUGGAAAAAA